GUACUCAGUCUCCAUUUUUCUCUUUGCCUUUUCAGUAAGUACCUGGAAAGAACUGUCAACUUUUUUCCAGCCUGGCAAACAGUGACAAAAUUGAUUAAAAUCGGUUGAGUGUAACAUAAUGUCCUGAUUGUUUCCUACAGGGAUUAUUAACUAAGGGAAGAGUGCACUUCAGUUUUCUUUCUGACAACUUCCUAGUCCUUCAUAUGGGGAAUGAUGCCCUGGAAGAAUCUCUGGACAGCAAUAUCCCCAUAGGACAGGGCUGAAGGAUUUCUAUAUUCAGCCUUUCCUCCAGUAGUUCCUGGUUUGGUGGUUAAGGCUAAAGGGUAGAUUUCUCCAGGAGGAUCUUCCUCUAAACUAGCUGUGUCUCCAUACUGAGCCGACUGAAUAUAUGCUGGAGAAUCUGAUAGCAGAAACAGAGAUCUUAUGCCUUCUGGAUUUUGAUGAUAUCUCUACUUUCCUCAGGAAACUUGAAUUGGAUUCUGGCAUUCCAGCCUAAUUUAUAGGCAUUGCUUUUCAGAUGCCUGAAAAGAAUUCCGGUGUCCUUAUUUUCCAGGCUUUGGCUCCAAAAUCAUAGCGAACCAAAGGAACAGACUCAGCUACCGCUGACCAUCACCAUUGCCGUCUGCAGAGACCAGGAGUGGAGAAUUUCUCAGCUUCACCUGGACCACAGUGAAACUGCAGGUUGCCAGCUCUUAAACAGCGCGCGCCAGGCCCCCUCGCUACGCCCCAACGGCCAGAAGGGGGCGCUCGAACUCAACGUAACGACCCAACCGGCAUCUCCCACCGGCGGAACCCGCCAGGGCGUCAAACGCCGGGUCCCGCGGAAACCGCAGCUUCGCAAGCAGCGGGGGGCCCCUCCCGGGAGAGGCGCCGCCGGAAUUCGGGACAGGGUGGGGCCGCGAGGACAGCGAGCAGACCCCUCCCUUGUCGGGCCUGACCGCCGAGGGGGAGCUGAGCCGCACUUCGCACCGAGCCUUUAAUGUUCAUGGUCGGCCCCUGCGUGGAUCCUCUCCUUUGUCGAGCAGUGUUUCAGCCAGAGCGGUUUACAAAGGGCUCAUUUCCUCGGGAUGCGGGGCAGGACUGAAAGUGCACUUCGUGGGGCUCGGUCUCCAUUUUGACUAAAUCAAAAUUUUCAUCAAGUGCUUCUCUAUGUAUUGAGACAUACACUUCACUAUCAGAGCAGUGACUCCACUCGGCCCUGUAGCGGCAUUGACCCCGACCAUGUGGAUGGCUGUGGAGAGACCUUUGGAAUGUCUGGCCACGUUGGCUUCAGCGGGCUGAAUUGUGGUCCCAGGUGCUGUGCAUCUGCAGUGUGAACGUUCCUGUCACUGAUGACCGGGCGACCCAUUUGCCCUGCUUUGGUGUUGUUGAGCCGGGCAACACCUCAGGGGGACCAAAUGGCAGAGAGAAUUGACUUUUGAGUUCAAAGUUUGUUUCAAAACAGAUGGGUCUUGCGGACAAUGCCCACCUCUGAGUAGCACCUGUUGUCGUCUCAGGCCUGAGCACAUCCAUCUCAGCACCUAGUUUGCAGUACUGACCCCCUUCGUUGCUGGGCUGCCUGGUGGGCAGGAGAGGGGGUGACCCGUGUCAUGGCUCACUGUUCAUGUCCCUAAUUUUGCAUCCAGUUCCUUUCCAGUGGCUUAGAGAGUGACAUGCGUGUUACUGGAAGACAUGUGUCCGUUUCUUUCCUGAACCUGUUAACAGUGUUUUCUCCUUUCCCUCCCGGCUUUGCUGAGCCAAUUUUAUCAGCUGCCCUGCCUGCAGCUACCUCCCUAUCGGGAGGGGAAAGUGGAGAACACAUCCUGCUUUAGCAACCCCAACACGCCCGUGGUCCACGCUUCCCGACAGACCGCCACCACCAGCAGCACUUUACCAGAACAGAGCCCCAAGUUCUGCGUCCCCUCCUGGCCCCAGGGCACGUCCCGUGGAGGGGGGGGCAGCGGUAUGCUUUCACCGAGGCUGAGAAAUGAGUCGCAGUGCCCACUUCUGCAGCUGUCAUCCGGAAGGGAAUGGGAUCUUGGGCGCAGGUGGAAACUGUGCCCCACCAUAGAUUCAUGGUCCUAGAUGUUUCCCCCUCACCCUCUGAACUCAAGGCUUCACUACAGCAAUUUUGAGUUCCACGGGUGGGGUGUAGGAGUUACAGUCCCUGCUCUCCACUGGGGCCAGCUCAACACCUUUGCAAGCGGUUCGUGCUAAACUUGUGUGCAGUCCUAAACUGGCCUCAUCUCUGUCCUGAAUAUUUGGAUGAUACUUGACCCCAGCUUCCUGGAGGGAGCGCUAGAUCUUGACUGCCCUUGUGUUAGUUAGUGAUAGGAGAUUUGCCAGGUACCCAGGCAGAGAAUGUAGGAAGAUGAGAAUUGGUGGAUGGUGGAGAGCAAGGCCCAGGGGUGCAGGGCAGGGACUCUCUAUGAACCCAGGCUCUAGAAGGGGUGACUUAUGGGCCCUUGAUCUGUCCUGAGAGCCCACAACCACCUUGGGAGAAGGGAUUGUGACAUUUACUUGGUGCUGUGGGCGUACAAUCUCACACAAUCUAGCUCUUCUGGGUAUGCUUAACAUGUCCAGAAAAGUGUGUAUAUAAAUCUUGUGCGAUUCCUGUGGCCAAAACAAAGCUGUCAACUUUGAACACAUAUGUGGAAUCCCAGAGAAUGUCCACCAUGUCUUUAAGGUGAGGUACACAGGGUUAUGGAGAUACAGGUAUUCGAUGUUUCACCUUCUACCCCUCAGAAAAAAUGUUGAGCACACACCUCCAAUGUUUAUUUUUAUUUAUAAUGUAUAUAUUAUAGUUAUAAGAUACUAUGCAUAUUAUAAAGUGUAUGUUUGUAAUAGA
This is a long non-coding RNA of Herpailurus yagouaroundi (jaguarundi), 2827 nucleotides long. RefSeq lists it as uncharacterized. The record is from RefSeq and is a predicted model, not a curated record. NCBI's taxonomy places the organism in Eukaryota, Metazoa, Chordata, Mammalia, Carnivora, Felidae. The transcript is spliced from 4 exons.